Harpia harpyja (harpy eagle) is the source of this 1786-nucleotide long non-coding RNA. RefSeq lists it as uncharacterized. The transcript has 4 exons. NCBI's taxonomy places the organism in Eukaryota, Metazoa, Chordata, Aves, Accipitriformes, Accipitridae. The record is from RefSeq and is a predicted model, not a curated record.
CUUGCUUGAAUGUGACAGGGAGCUGACAGAUGCUCUCAAGGUCUGCUAGACAAAUAUUCCUGCCUGUCUUGUUCACACUGUUCAGUUAUGAGGAUAGGAGACAUUCCUCAUAAGAGAAACAGAAAACUUUCUGGUCAGAAACUUUCAAAGUUGAUAGAACUCUGAGAAACAUGUUUCUUUGAUAAAAAGAAAUAUGUUAGUAACCGUAAGAGCAAUAUGAGAAGAACUUCGGGUGUCAACAAGUCUCCAAUCACAGGCAAAAGAAAUCAUUCUGAGCAAACUCAUCACUACAUCUAUUUCUUCUAGGCUGACACUGGAAAUUAAGGGGCUGAGUCAUCCUUUCUUUCAAAUUCUGCUAAGAUUUUCUUCAAAUUAGUUCCUGAAGCCACUGCAUAUCUAUCUGGAUGUGCUAAUCCUGAGAGUACCUAAAAGAAGGUGGACAAGGAUUACCACAUGAGCAGCUGUCUUUGGGCUAUUCACUUUGUUUUGCCUCCUUUGGAAGAUCAGAAUGGACUGCUGCUGACAAGUGAAUCCUUUGCAGAUCUUCUGCAAAGAGUGGGGUGACGUAGGCCAGGCAGCAGUUUUACUAGCGCUAGUCUGUAGGGCUGUUCCCAGCUGAGCCAGCAACAAUCAGGUCAGUCUCUGCCUUGCAGUGAUGAUUGUGGCAGAGUAGCCAGAGGGAGUUGCUGGGGAGUUCUGGAUAAUGUGAAUCUGAGUGCUUGGCAAUAGUGUAAGAUCAGGACCCUACAUGUGCAGGAACGUACAUGUGGGAGAUUACUGUAGCUAUGGCUGGCUGCCAGCCAUUCUGGUGGUUUGUAGCUGAGGAGUUGAAAUGCUAAGAAUUUCUGAUACCAUAUGAAAUCUAACGAAAUUUCUUCACAAUAUAGAGGAGAUCACAUACAGAUCACGCUGGUGCUACUGUAACACCAAAGUCUGCUAAGAAUACGUGAGGCUAGUGUUAUGGCCUGUGCCUGUGUCACAGAGAUACAAAGAGAAAAGGCAAGCAUGAAGAUGUGGGGUUUCUGCAAAUAUUUCAUGAAAACGUGGUUCUGUUUCACAGCUUUCUAUAUAAGUUGGCAGACUGAUAUAGAAUUAGGUGGGGAUGCUGCUGAGGCUUGCGGCAACAGCAAAGAGAAGCAACAGCUAAGGGACUUAUUUCUCAAUAAUGAAUGAGGUGAGGUAAAAUAGAAGCUCAGGAUUUGGGGAUUAAAUGUAUUAGAAUUAUUGAGUUAUUAAUAAUCUAUGUCUUUGAAAGCUGGGAGAUCAUCUUACAUUUAUAUUAAAAGGUUUGUUACAUUAUACUCUAAAAUGUCAUGCUGUGUAAUUGUGAAGGGAAAGGAACUGGAAGAAAAUCACUCAUAAAAGAGUAUUUCUAAAAAUAUAUUUCUGUAACUUAGGUAAAGAAAAAUAUUCUGGAUAUUUAGUGAGGGGGAAAAGGGGUGGGAAACGGACUCCUAAAAUGAGAGUUAAUAAGUGACGUUAUACAAUGGACUGAUUUUUAUGGCUCAGUUAUAAACCUUUGAAAGCAAGGGUUUAGAGAGUAAGUGCUGACACUAUCUUAAACACUGUAAAACAUUCUGUAAUAGUACCAGAUUCCUGGGAUUUCUUUAUGUAUCUUUUUUUUAAUAGCUAAGCCUUUUGAAAAGAAAUAGUACAGAUUCUAGUAAGAACUACAGAUGAAGAAUGGUAGCUUUUUGCUCUAGUAUAAUAGGUGUCAGUACUAAAGAUUAUUGACUUUCUAGCAACAUACUGUAAGAAACCAUAAUAAAAGUCCUGACCUUCUGCA